This is a long non-coding RNA of Austrofundulus limnaeus, 559 nucleotides long. RefSeq lists it as uncharacterized. The transcript has 3 exons. The record is from RefSeq and is a predicted model, not a curated record. NCBI's taxonomy places the organism in Eukaryota, Metazoa, Chordata, Actinopteri, Cyprinodontiformes, Rivulidae.
AUGGCACCACAAGGGGUCGCAACUUCCYUAGGCUAAAUUCUUAUAAAGAGGAAGUUGGCGGCGCUGUGGGGAAGUGCCAAUUUUCUGUGGGUGUGUGACCAGGUGUGUGUGGGUCCACGCGUUCCCUUGUUCGGCGAUUGUGGGCCACACAUUUAGUGAUGUUCCGAGUGUGGCAUUGUCUGGGCGUGUGGCUGUUCGACGCUGCAGAUAGAGCUACGUUCAAUCCGUCGGAAUGUCAAGUGUUUUCAUAAGUGUUGGCUUAUGCAACGCAGCUUCAUCGUGCUGUAACCUGUGGCCGAACAGAAAAGCCAGACGCUCGACAGUGACAGCUCAGCAGAGUCCAGCACCCUGUCAUUUUGUUUCUCAGCCACACCGAGGGACCAGACAGAACCACAAAGUCACCCAUCAGCAGCUGUCAGCACCAACAAAACCACCUGACUUCACUCUCAGAUUAUCUACACUUCAGGUCAAGGUUGUCAUCAAAAUGAUAAGACCGUUUAAAAGUGAAUCAUUUAAGACAGUUAAUCAGUGGCGUCUCCACGAAUGUUUUAUUUGGGGG